Molecule: ribosomal RNA, 114 nt
Filed under: Erysipelotrichaceae bacterium
Lineage: Bacteria; Bacillati; Bacillota; Erysipelotrichia; Erysipelotrichales; Erysipelotrichaceae
Source: RNAcentral
UCUGGUGACGAUAGCAUCGUGGUCACACCUGUUCCCAUCCCGAACACAGAAGUUAAGCACGAUUACGGUGACGAUAGCUACACCUGCUGUAGUGAAAAUAGCGAGUUGCCAGAU